ACAGAAACAGCCAACUACAGAAUUAGGUUCUAACUCCAAGACCUUUUCACAAUCCUGAAAAGCACUAUUCCAGUUCUGUAAUUUGAUUUCUGCUUGAGCUCGAUUGUUAUAGGCAACUACAGUGGGAAGCGCUGAUAUGCUCCUAGAAAAGAAACAGUUACUGGCAACAAGCAAGCCUAAGGUAAACAUAAGAAUGUAGAGAAAUUCAGCUUCAGUUAUACAUAAAACAAUUAUAACCUGUCUAUGGGCUGAAUUGUAUCCCCCAACAUUCGUAUGUUGAAGUCCUAACCCCACAGUAUCUCAGAACAUGACUGUAUUUGGAGAUAGGGUCUUUAAAAAGCUAAUUAAGGUGAAAUGAAGUCAUGAGAGGGGGCCCAGAUCCCAUAAAAAUGGUUUCCUUAUAAGAAGAAGAUAUUUGGACAUACAUGUAUGGACAGACUGUGAAGUCACUGGGAGAAGACGGCCACCUACAAGCCAAGGAGAGAGGCCUUGAAAAAACCAACCCUGCUAGCACCUUGAUCUCAAACUUCCAGCCUCCAGAAGUGUGAGAAAAGAAAUUUCUCUCGUUUAAGCCGCUCAGUCUGUGGUACUUUGUUACGGCAACCUUAGCAAACAAAUACAGCCUAUAUUAUCAAAAAUAAUAAAAUACAAUUCUACAAGCAUACUAAAUCAAUAUUUAAACAGAUGCUUAAAUAUCCAGUUAAUAGCCUUAAAGUUAACUCAGGCUUUAGAGGCAUUAUGGGAAUUUAAAUACUGAUAGAUCUGGAAUCUGAGCUUUAGUUACUGGAAUAAAAAAUGAAGGUAGAAAAAGAUAAAUACCUAUAGAUCACUUUAAAAAAAACCGUUGAUGUAAGUUAACAUCAAAUAUCAAAUACCAAACACAUUUUUUGAAGCCAGGCAUGGUGGCUCACCCCUGUAAUCUCAGCACUUUGGGAGACCGAGGUGACAGCAUGGCUUGAGGCCAGAGGUUCGAGACCAGCCUGGGCAACAUCAUGAGAGCCUGUCUCUACAAAAAACACAAGAGAAAAUUAUCCAGGUAUGGUGACUCACACCUGUAGUCCCAGUAUUCUCAGGAGGCUGAGGUGGGAGGAUCCCUGGAGCCCAGGAGUUUGAGGCUGCAGCGAGCUAUGAUCACACCACUGCACUCUUGCCUGGAUAACAGAGUGAGACCCUGUCUCAAAAAAAAAAAAAAAAAAAAAAAGAAUCUGCCCAAGGUCAGAAAGUGGUAGUCUGAAUUCCCUUAACCAUCAUACUAUGCUGCUUUAAUUCUUCAACUAUAUGACUCCUCAAAAAAGAAGAAAAGAGCUUUGUAACCUGUAAUAGACAAGAGAAUCUCUGGUAUAAACCUACAAGAAAAGAAAGAACAGUUAUCAAGGCUGACAUCCACCUGCCUGAACAGGGGAGGCUGUACUGAAUGAAUGAUCCAUCAUAUAUCCUCUUUACCUCGUAUCUUCAUUUAAACAAUCUGAGAAAACUUCUUUAGAUACACCAACAACAUUGAAAAAAAUCUAUCUUAUUUCCAAAGGUGGAAAAAAGAUUGUACAGAGUUUAGUGCUAAGGUAGCAUUAGUGAUUCUAUAAGAACAGUUUAUCUGUAACAACAUUUUAAAAACUUAGUCUACUUUUCAUAGGCUGUUAAGAACUUCAGAAGUUCAUAUACAUAUUUAUUGAACAUCUACUAUGAACCAGGUACUUUGUUGGGCCUUGGGGAUACAAUGGUGUAAAAAUCCUUGACAAAUGGGUUCUGCUGUUACAAAUCUUACAUUCUAGUUAUUAUCAAAUCACACAAGCUUAAAUUAUACUUCUGACAAGUGCUACAAAGGAGAGGUAAGACUGCUAUAAGAGCCUAUAAAUUGGGAGGUGAGGUGGGUGGGGUGAGAUGGAGAUUUAACCUAGUUUGGAAGGUGAAGUAAGACUUCUCCAAAGAAGUAAGGUGAAGACUAAGAUCUGAAGGAUAAAUCAGAAUUAACUAGAUAAUGGAACGAGGGAAGAGCAUUUUUUUUCUUAAUUUCCUUUUCUCUUUUAAAGGCUAGUCAAGUGAAACAGUGGGAGUGGAGAAGGAACAAGGAAAUCUGUAACUGGUUGUGAUCAAUUAGUUGUAAACACCACUGUACUCAGACCAGCCAUGGGAAAAGCAUUUUUGAUGGUGCACCCAGCAUGUGCAAAGGCCCUGUGGUAGGAAGGAGCACCAAAGUACUAGAAGUA
Molecule: long non-coding RNA, 2204 nt
Filed under: Homo sapiens (human)
Lineage: Eukaryota; Metazoa; Chordata; Mammalia; Primates; Hominidae
Description: HSALNT0140985
Source: RNAcentral